Molecule: ribosomal RNA, 451 nt
Filed under: uncultured bacterium
Lineage: Bacteria
Description: partial 16S ribosomal RNA
Rfam family: Bacterial small subunit ribosomal RNA
Source: RNAcentral
GUGGGGAAUAUUGGACAAUGGGGGGAACCCUGAUCCAGCCAUGCCGCGUGUGUGAAGAAGGCCUUUUGGUUGUAAAGCACUUUAAGCGAGGAGGAGGCUACCGAGAUUAAUACUCUUGGAUAGUGGACGUUACUCGCAGAAUAAGCACCGGCUAACUCUGUGCCAGCAGCCGCGGUAAUACAGAGGGUGCAAGCGUUAAUCGGAUUUACUGGGCGUAAAGCGCGCGUAGGUGGCCAAUUAAGUCAAAUGUGAAAUCCCCGAGCUUAACUUGGGAAUUGCAUUCGAUACUGGUUGGCUAGAGUAUGGGAGAGGAUGGUAGAAUUCCAGGUGUAGCGGUGAAAUGCGUAGAAAUCUGGAGGAAUACCGAUGGCGAAGGCAGCCAUCUGGCCUAAUACUGACACUGAGGUGCGAAAGCAUGGGGAGCAAACAGGAUUAGAAACCCGGGUAGUCC